RNAcentral lists this ribosomal RNA (471 nucleotides) under uncultured bacterium. RNAcentral's name for it is "bacterial SSU rRNA". It matches the Rfam family "Bacterial small subunit ribosomal RNA", at positions 330 to 792 of the family's 1533-position model. The record is from RNAcentral.
UCCAGACUCCUACGGGAGGCAGCAGUAGGGAAUUUUCGUCAAUGGGCGCAAGCCUGAACGAGCGAUGCCGCGUGAGUGAAGAAGGCCUUCGGGUCGUAAAGCUCUGUUGCGGGGGAAAAAAGGCAGCAUCAGGAAAUGGGUGCUGACUGAUGGUGCCCCGCCAGAAAGUCACGGCUAACUACGUGCCAGCAGCCGCGGUAAUACGUAGGUGGCGAGCGUUGUUCGGAAUGACUGGGCGUAAAGGGUGCGUAGGCGGUGUAGCAAGUUAGAAGUGAAAUACCUAGAGCUUAACUCAGGUGCUGCUUCUAAAACUGCUAUACUUGAGUGCAGUAGAGGAAAGUGGAAUUCCUAGUGUAGCGGUGGAAUGCGUAGAUAUUAGGAGGAACAUCAGUGGCGAAGGCGACUUUCUGGACUGUAACUGACGCUGAGGCACGAAAGUGUGGGGAGCAAACAGGAUUAGAUACCCUCGUA